ACUGAUUGAUCCUGUCAGCAGUAUUUGCUUGUUCAGAAGACUAAGCCAUGCAUGUAUAAGUUCACACCUUAAUACGGUGAAACCGCGAAUGGCUCAUUAAAUCAGCUAUUAUUUAUUAGAUCUUACAAGAUUACUUGGAUAACUGUAGUAAUUCUAGAGCUAAUACAUGAAUAUGUGCUUUGGUUCACGCCAAAUGCGAAUUUAUUAGAUCAAAACCAACCGGUUUCGGCCGUUAAAUUGGUGACUCUGGAUAACUAUUCUGAUCGCAUGACCUUGUGUCGGCGACGUAUCUUUCAAGUGUCUGCCCUAUCAACUUAAGUUGGUGAGUUAGUUGCUCACCAUGGUUAUAACGGGUAACGGAGAAUCAGUGUUCGAUACCGGAGAGGGAGCCUUAGAAACGGCUACCACAUCUAAGGAAGGCAGCAGGCGCGCAAAUUACCCACUCUCGGAACGAGGAGGUAGUGAAUUUAAAUAGCGAUGAUGAACUCUUAUGAGGCUCGUCAAUCGAAAUGAGUACAAUUUAAAUCCUUUAACGAGUACCAAUUGGAGGGCAAGUCUGGUGCCAGCAGCCGCGGUAAUUCCAGCUCCAAUAGCGAAUAUUAAAUUUGUUGCAGUUAAAAAGCUCGUAGUUGGAUCCAAGGUUUGGCAUGCCUGUCUGUUCUUAGUAGCAUGACUGUGUGUGUCUGCCUUUAUUAGUUGAAUGUUCAUUAUGGUGGUCUUCAUCGACUGCUAUGAUGUGCUCAACACGUUUACGUUGAAAAAAUCAGAGCGAUCAAGGCAGGCCUUCGUGCUUGUAUGUUGUUGCAAGGAAUAAUAGAAUAGGACUUCGGUUCUAUUUUGUUGGUUUUGAGAAUUGAAGUAAUGAACAAUAGAGACAGUCGGGGGCAUUUGUAUGGUGGCGUUUGAGGUGAAAUUCUGAGAUCGUCGCCAGACAAACUACUGCGAAAGCAUUUGCCAAGGAUGUCUUCAUUAAUCAAGAACGAAAGUCAGAGGUUCGAAGACGAUCAGAUACCGUCCUAGUUCUGACCAUAAACGAUGCCGACCUACAAUCGGGGGUGGUUUAUUAUAUUGACCCUCCCGGCUGUCCUCAGGAAACUUUAAGUUGGUUCUGGGGGGAAUAUGGUCUCAAGACUGAAACUUAAAGGAAUUGACGGAAGGGCACCACCAGGAGUGGAGCCUGCGGCCUAAUUUGACUCAACACGGGGAAUCUCACCCGGUCCGGACACUGGUAGGAUGGACAGAUUGAUAGCUCUUUCUUGAUUCAGUGGGUGGUGGUGCAUGGCCGUUCUUAGUUGGUGGAGUGAUUUGUCUGGUUAAUUCCGAUAACGAACGAGACUCUGUCCUGCUAAAUA
Molecule: ribosomal RNA, 1352 nt
Filed under: metagenome
Description: SSU rRNA
Rfam family: Eukaryotic small subunit ribosomal RNA
Source: RNAcentral